This 502-nucleotide ribosomal RNA is filed under the name Pseudolais pleurotaenia. RNAcentral describes it as "partial 12S ribosomal RNA". It matches the Rfam family "Bacterial small subunit ribosomal RNA", at positions 801 to 1533 of the family's 1533-position model. Lineage: Eukaryota; Metazoa; Chordata; Actinopteri; Siluriformes; Pangasiidae. The record is from RNAcentral.
AACCUAGAUGUAUCUUUACACAAACAUCCGCCUGGGUACUACGAGCACAGCUUAAAACCCAAAGGACUUGGCGGUGUCUCAGACCCACCUAGAGGAGCCUGUUCUAGAACCGAUAACCCCCGUUAAACCUCACCACUUCUUGUUUUUCCCGCCUAUAUACCGCCGUCGUCAGCUUACCCUGUGAAGGUCAAAUAGUAAGCAAAAUGGGCCCGCCCAAAAACGUCAGGUCGAGGUGUAGCGCACGAAGUGGGAAGAAAUGGGCUACAUUUUCUACAACAGAAUAUUUACGAAUGGCACCCUGAAAUAAAUGCCUGAAGGUGGAUUUAGUAGUAAAAAGCAAAUAGAGCGUCCUUUUGAAUUAGGCUCUGAGACGCGCACACACCGCCCGUCACUCUCCCCUCAUAUAUUAAAAUUAAACCCAACAUUCCUAAUCAAAUAUCCAUUAUUACGGGGAGGCAAGUCGUAACAUGGUAAGUGUACCGGAAGGUGCACUUGGAAUAAU